UAAAGAUCAUCCAGUUACCCCCCCCUCCUCCGCCAUGGGCAGUGACAUCCCACUAGAUCAGGCUGCCUAAGGCCCCAUCCAACCUGGCCUUGAACACCUCCAGGGAUGGGGCAUUCACAGCUUCCCUGGGCAACCUGUGCCAGUGCCUCACCACUCUCAUGGUGAAGAAAUUCUUCCUAAUGUUCAGUCUAAAUCUGCCCCUCUCCAGUUUAUACCCAUUGCCCCUCAUCCUAUCAUUACAAGCCUUUGUGAACAGUCCCUCCCCAGCUUUCUUGUAGGUUCCUUUCAGGUACUGGAAGGUCGCUACUUCAGAAUGUGGUUAAAAUUAACUUUUGUGAAGACUGAACCAAAUGGCUCUGAGAACUUCAGUCUUUAUCAUAUGUUCUCCUUCCUGCUAUUGGCCAGCACUUUCCUUUUGCCAUUCUCUCAUUUUUGAUACAUUUACAAAUACUUUUAUUACUAGUUCUGUGUCACUUGAUAGCAGUAUGCUAUGCUGCUGCCUUAGCCUGUCUGUGGGCUGUGUCGUUCAUUUACUUCUGUCCUCAGGUGCAUGCUUGGGUUUCCCUGCUCUGUAAACUGCCUUUGAUUCUGAAAUGCUUGCAGGCAUCUGCAGGUGCAAUGGCCCUUUGCUACACUGUCUGCUCUUCCUUCACAUUAGGAUCUGACGUUCAACAAUCUUUCUUUGACUAAGCACUAGUGUCCUCCACUCCUUUCUCCCUCGCGUUAUCCUAACUAGAAGCCAGCACCAGCUGGGGUUCCUUUUUUUCAGGAAAGUACAUUGCAUCAUUUCACAAUCAGUUUGGUGGAAAUAGUCUGUCAUCUCUCAUGCUCUCAGGCAGUUACCCUACCCCAUGCCCCUUAUUCAGAGAUGAAUCUAAACCAUCCUAGAUGACAACAUUACCUCCUCAUCUUCACAAAUCCUUCCAUUGACAUCAGAUUUCUCUCUGCUUUGAUUUGAUUAGGUAUCAGGAUCGGUAAGGCACAGUUCAUGCCUAGUUAUUAGGGGAACAUCACUAUAUUUCUGCUUCUUCGCUCCCUUUCAGCACAAUUCACACUAAUCAUGUCUUGCCUGCAUCUGUGAUGCUGAGGGAAUAGAUGCAGGUAAAAUACUGUACUGAAUACAGCCCCCUUUUCCCUCAAUGAAAUACUUCCAAGCUCAGGGAGCUGCUUCAGCUUUCACAGAAUAUUAUUCUUCAAGGUGCAGACCCUCAGUUGUUUCCAUUGCCCGACAAUAUUUUGAUUUUUGCAGUCACUUCUGCUGAUGAUGAACAGCAGCUCCCUCGUGCCGUCACCUUCCCUCUGGCUUCUCCCCAGCCAAGGGAACAUGACAGGCCAGCCCUAAGCGGUCUGUGAUGGAGCUGCAGCCACAUGUGUCUUUGAACUCCGCAGUGCCUCUGCUUUAGAGUCCCUCAUGGGGCUGUUCCCACCUCAGGUUCCACUUCCUUAGUAGUUCUUCAGCCAUCCCUCCCUCCUGAACCCCUUUUUUUUGCAUCACUCCUUCUCCUUCUUUCUGGAAUGCACCAUGUAUCUUCUGUGAGUAAACAAAUCUCCCUGCACCACACUGAGCUGGUAUUAAAGAAAUGUCUCUUUCUUUCAAAAAGAUUCAUGUGGACCUCUGAGAUAAAAGUGCAAAAGCUUCCCUUGCUCCUUGGCUUACUCCCUCAGUCAGCGAUCAGUUCUGUUCUCUGGUUAGGACACUGCAGGUGGUGUUCUUGUCUCCUUGCUGUUUGGUUUCAGGAGAGAUGAGUCUGUUCUUAGUGGCACUGCUACACGCGUGUGACCUAGCCAGCACAGGUCAAGCUUCUUCACAUCUGCAGGGUGUUGUUGCCAUGAGUCAUGCAGAUAAAAACAAUGCUAAAAACAACGCCUCCAUAUCAGAGAUGGGAAGCUCCUUGAUACCCUCCCUGCUCCUGCCCUUGAGCUGUAUCUGUGUGGCUGUCCAGAGACCUACAGAUGGAGAGAAGGGCUGGACAGUGGCUUCUGUGGUCCCUGCCAAUCCUGAUGUGGUUCUGGACUCAGCAUAUAGAGGAGAAACAGUUUCACUUGACAGAAUUUCAGACACCUCUGUUCACUGGUGCAGGCACGGCUGAUGCGUGUGCCUGUGCAGCUCUGGGGUGAUGGAAGGAUAACGACUCACAAACCUCCUUGGAAGAAAGCAACAUGAAUAUGUGCCUGAGGUAGAUAGAUAGUCUAUAAAGUGUGAAUUCAGUUCCCAGCUAUGCUUUCAUGCCCAGUUUAUCAGAGCUGCUAUGAGAACAGACAGAGGUGAUGAAAUUGAAGUCCCUUCAACAAUCGUCUCACAUGGAUUUUAAAUAAAAGAACCUUGGUUUCUCAAAGGUAAUAUCUUGGCUGGCAAACCAUACCGCCUUGUUUUUUUUUGUGUGAAUGAACAGAUGUCUCAGGGAACUGGGCUUAACUUUGCCAAGUUUCUAUUGAGAUGGGAAGACUGUGAAACUGAGGAGCAUUUUGUCAGAAUGUAUUGUCCUCAGAGAAUUCAGAGUGGCUUGCUGUAAGACAGGUAUUGCAUUUCAUUAUGUAUUUGUUUUUGUAGAAAUAUGGAAUCUAAGAUGGAAAACUCAGAAUUUUGCCAGUAUUAACAUUUACUUUACCAAGAAACACAUGCGUACAUUCUCAAAACUCAUAUUUGAGAAUAUCCUUUGUGUCUAGAGAGCACUGACAUAUAGGCGUAUAUGUUAGACAUUACAAACUUCAGUUUGUAAUAAUCAGUUCUACUGAACCUAACAGCCUUAGUAUAAGGUAAAUCAGCUGCAGAAAAACCCAGAUAUACUAGGCUUUUGCUCCCCUGGGCAUUGUGCUCUCUUGUAACUUCCUUCCAAUAACUUUAGAGCCCUUUGAUCAAUUCCAAAUAAAUUUGACAAAACAGUGAAGUCCUUGGCGCUAUUUAGUUCUUCCACAUCUGGUGGGCACAGAGGAGACACACUCACUGAACUGAGCAAAAUAGUGUUGUGUGGAUUCACCAGUUCUUUGUAUUAUUUGGGCUGUUGCCUGGCUGGUCAGCAAGAAAGUCUGAACUGCUUGUGUAAGGGUUGUCAGAGGAUACAGGAGGGAAGUGGACUAUGGAAAUGUUGGAGGCAGCUGAGAUGCAGGGGAGCAGGAGGGCAGAGGGAAUGGGUUGAAGGUAACCCCGGUGAUAUGGGGAACUGAGACCCUAUUGGGGGCAAUCACACAGUAAGUGGAAUCAUAGCAACAUAGAAUCGCCAGAUUGGAAAAGACCUUUUGGAUCACAGAGUCCAACCAUUCCUGUCAACCACUAACCCAUGUCCCUGAGAACAUCAUCUACCCGUCUUUUAAAUACCUCUAGGGAUGGUGACUCAGCCACCUCCCUGGGCAGCCUCUGCCAGUGCCCUAUGACCCUUUCCGUGAAAAUUUUUUUUCUGAUCAAAAUGGAAGGGGAAAUCUAGAAGAGCUCUUAUCUUCCAGGUCCUGAUUUCUGCUCAGUAUUUCAUCUUAAUAUUUUUUCUCAGCUUUUUUGAUUCCUAAACUCCAAACAGGAAUGAGUGUUCAGUGUGCAGGCUACAGUCAGCAAGGACAAGGAAAAGCAUUCCCCCACCAGACACAAACAUGAGUGUAGCAGUGACAAUAUUCCUAUAAAAUAAUGUGUGCUCAGUCAAUAUAAAAAAAAGUCUAAUAUCUUCUGACCUGUAGGCAGGAUGGCAUCUCUGCUUUAUGCUAGAUUAUAAAAGACUGUGUACUUGCUUUACAAAUAUGUCCCUCUGCACAGUGUCAGCUGUACCAUUAUGAGGAGCAGUUCACCUUCCUCAGCUGCGCUGAGGUUAGUCAGCUGCAACCUCUGCUGCUGAGGAACUCUUCUGCUAGGUCUUGGGGGGGGUUAAUUUUGCCUUCUUUGGCAGAGUGCCUAGGGAGGGAGCUGAAUGAUAGCUGUGAUGGAUUAGUGAGGCUUCAGGGCUAGAGGACUGACUAGAAGUUGAACUUGAUGGAAACUGGGAAAUUGAUGGAAAAUGUGGUAGAGGUGACUACGCCCAUAGAUUCAGCUCCAGCCCACCUGAGGGCCUUGUUGUAUCUCAUUUUGCCCACAUCCACAGCCAUACUAAUCCUGUUAUUUAGGCUGUAAUCAAACAGGACUUUGUUCUGUUACCUAACUACAUUUCAAUGUCUUUGGCUGCAGACAGUGAGAGGUAGCUUAUCCUCUAGAAAGGCAUAGCGAGGGGACCAUUUUUCAGGGAAGCAGGUUUGUCACAGGGACACAAAACUAUCUAGUUUCCUUUCAUCUAAGGUAAGAAAAAAAUAAAAGUAGACAAAGAUCGCUUUGUUGCAGAGCUCCCGUGGGAAGAGUGAUGGGAGUUUGGUGCCUGCCUCUUCUCUAUGCCUUUGGAAACUCUCCUCAGAACAUUUUACUUAUUUGCCUGUUUCUCACCUUUGGCCCUGAAGUAUAUUAAAGUCCAGCAAAUAACAGAGUGCUUAAUUUCGGAAAGCGAAGAGUGGAAUGGGCUAAUAAAGCUCCAAAACAAAGUUCCCCUUUCAGACCGUGGAGCAGAUGGUGGCACCUGUGGCAAUACAUUUCCUUCCCUUCCCACCACUGCUGUAUUAAGAACUAGUGAGGAAAUUUUGCAUCUGAGCUCGUAGUUUGCCGUGAACUUCAGCAAAGCUAUGAUAAUGUUAUUUGUUAAGGGGAUUGGAAAAUAUUCCGAUUGCACUAUUAAACUGUUCUUUAGUUUUUCUUCCAGGUGCUGAGCUUACAGAUUGUUGAGGAUUUCUUUAAGGUUCUUUCUAGAAUCCUUAGAAAAUUAACAAAGCUGCCAAGAUACUCCAGAUGGGUGGGUAAGGACAAGUAAAAACCAGAUGUCCUUCAGUAACAACAAGACUAGAUGUCUGCAAGCAGCUAUCUACUGCAGGUGACUACAGGCAGAGCAGCAGACACCACAGGGUAGGAAGAAAUGGCACAGCUUUAAAGUCUUUCUGAUAGGGUAGAGAAGAAAGAAGCGGAAGCGAUGAAACUGGCAAAGAACGAAGAAUUACCAGGCGGGUGGAAGAAGGAGCAAAUGGUUGGCUGCAAAAGAGAAAGGGGCACUGAAGAGAGCACAGUGUGGUGCUGGUUGCUGAAAAUCAGAGAUUUGUGGGAAGAUUAGAGGAUUCAAGGAUGUCAGAGAGAAGUGAAAGAAACAUCGUGAACAAGAGGAAAAGUGACCUGUCAUUGACCUUUGCAGGCCACCUUCACUAGCCCACGUACAUCUCACCUGUGCAGGCGAGCUGCGGAAUGGUGGGUCUGAAGGAAGGAAAAGAGCUGGAAGAGAAAUGAAAAGAAAGAUGUCUGCAGUAUUUCAUGCUAUACCAGUCAGAGGGAAGCAGAGAGGGCUCAGCAAAGACCCCUGCAGGCUGAUAAAAUGGAAAGGGGACCAUCACAAGUCUUGUAGUUUUCCAGCUGGCUCAGAAUGCUGAUGUUUGAUAUUCCCAGGAUAUCUUUGAUAGCAUCUGUCUGAUGUACUAAUGACAAGAUACUCCAUUCACCACUCAAGAGAGGGAUUAGGGUUUAAAUUGCCAUUCCAGCUUGUCACUCACCAAAGAAUUAAAAUCUUCUUUGAAUAUGGAAUGUACUGAACUCGCGGGAAAGCCUAAGACUAAGGAAAUGAAACUUUAAACAUGAGAUCAUUGAAAGAAAGUUAUGCAUUAGCUGGAGAGUUUUCAGCUUUCCAAGCUGCGUCUGAGAGCCACUGGGCAACAUUAAACAGAGGCUCCUAAGUCAUGCUUCAGCCAGAUUAUCACAAAUACUCUAACCAUUUCCUCCUCUGAGAGGAAUAGUGCAGUAUAGGGACCCCAAGAAAUGGACAGUUUUUAAAUGCUUUAUAUUGCCAAUACGGAAGAGGCUUUGAUCUGUGUUUUUCCUAAUGGAGGAAAAUAACUACUUAUUAUCCUGGUUUUAUCUCUCACGGCUGGCCAUGUUCACCAGUCUGGGUAAGUGGCUGUGGAGAAAAGCACUUUGAAUUUCAUCCGAGCAAAAGUCUAGUGCUGAUAAUGAUGACUUAACAGAUGUGAAGACCAGCUUUCUGUAGUGCAAGCCUGUGAUCUCUGCUAUCUCAGUUGUGCUGUGAGGUUUUUCAGCAGAACAGAGCUGGUAUUGAACUAAAUGUGCACAAUGCUGAAGAGCAGCAGUGUUACUCGGAGUACUCUGGGUUCCUCCACAAAUUACUCACAUUCGUGGUUUUAGAAUGACUGUGAACAAAACCCAACAUUU
Cuculus canorus (common cuckoo) is the source of this 6211-nucleotide long non-coding RNA. RefSeq lists it as uncharacterized. The transcript has 3 exons. The record is from RefSeq and is a predicted model, not a curated record. Lineage: Eukaryota; Metazoa; Chordata; Aves; Cuculiformes; Cuculidae.